Molecule: long non-coding RNA, 1045 nt
Filed under: Chloebia gouldiae (Gouldian finch)
Lineage: Eukaryota; Metazoa; Chordata; Aves; Passeriformes; Passeridae
Description: Erythrura gouldiae (Gouldian finch) lncRNA (ENSEGOG00005013655.1)
Source: RNAcentral
GCACAUUUCUGAGGGGUUCAGCAAAAUAAUACGUUAAUUAUGCUGUUUUAAAAGCUAAAUAUAGACAAAUGCUUAUGUUUUGCUAUAAAAUCUGGAACACAACUUUAUGUAAAACCUGAUCAAAACCAAAAAAGAAACGUCGCUUUUUUUUUUUUCCCCCUGCUACUCAUAAAAAGACUUAAAGCAACUUUUACCAAUUUAAGAGCUGGAAGGAUCUCCAAACACUGUUUAAUCCUGUAUUUUUAUCAUUCUUUCAUUAGAGCUCUUUUCUUCCCACAUUUAGACGAGCCAAUACUCCGGUGUGGCUCUCUCAAGGUCGUUCAGAGAACAUUAAUUAAGUGUGAAGCGGGGAUGGGGCGCUGCUCUCUGCUCCUGGGCUGCCGGGGGGCAGGGAGGGCUCGGGAAAUGGGAUUUGGGAUGAGGCAGGAAAAGGAAGAUCCGUGUUCCUUCUGUCUCAGGACGUGCACUAAGACCCAGAGUUAUCCCUGCUCUCCGCUGACCUGCGGACAAGAACUGGGAAUGGAAAACUGGGAAUGGGAAACUGGGAAGAGGAAUGGGAAACUNNNNNNNNNNCUGGGAAUGGGAAACUGGGAAUGGGAAACUGGGAAGAGGAAUGGGAACUGGGGAUGGGAAACUGGGAAUGGGAAACUGGGAAGAGGAAUGGGAACUGGGAAUGGGAAAGUGGGAAUGGAAAACUGGGGAUGGGAACCUGGGAAUGGAAAACUGGGAAGAGGAAUGGGAACUAGGAAUGGGAAAUUGGGAAUGGAAACCUGGGAAUGGGAAACUGGGAAUGGGGAUGGGAAACUGGGAAUGCUAAUCUGGGAAUGGAAAAUUGGGAAAUGUGAUGAGAAAUUGGGAUUGGAAAACUGGGAAUGGGGAGGAGAAUGGGAACUGGGAAUUGAGAACUCCUGGGAGGGUCUCAUGUCUUCAUUACAUCCUCGCUGAGUUUAUUUAAAUUCCCAAAGCCAGGAGGUUAAAGCAGCCUGGCUGUGCGGUUGUCACGGUGUUAAAAAUAAAAUAAAGCCGUGUGAGCUCCGAUUCUUCA